This 119-nucleotide ribosomal RNA is filed under the name Pteropus alecto (black flying fox). The record is from RNAcentral. Lineage: Eukaryota; Metazoa; Chordata; Mammalia; Chiroptera; Pteropodidae.
UGCUAUGGCCAUGCCGCCCUGAACAAGCCCGAUCCUGUCUGAUCUCGGAAGCUAAGCAGGGUCAGGCCUGGGUAGUACUUGGAUGGGAGACCACUUAGGAAGACCACGUGCUGUAGGCG